AUACGGAGGGUGCAAGCGUUAAUCGGAAUUACUGGGCGUAAAGAGUACGUAGGUGGUUUAUUAAGUCAGAUGUGAAAGCCCCGGGCUCAACCUGGGAACUGCAUUUGAAACUAGUAGACUAGAGUAUGGUAGAGGGGGGUAGAAUUUCUAGUGUAGCGGUGAAAUGCGUAGAUAUUAGAAGGAAUACCAGUGGCGAAGGCGGCCCCCUGGACCAAUACUGACACUGAGGUACGAAAGCGUGGGUAGCGAACAGGAUUAGAAACCCCGGUAGUCC
RNAcentral lists this ribosomal RNA (274 nucleotides) under uncultured bacterium. RNAcentral describes it as "partial 16S ribosomal RNA". It matches the Rfam family "Bacterial small subunit ribosomal RNA", at positions 523 to 796 of the family's 1533-position model. The record is from RNAcentral.